CGCCUCUUGCAAAACCAAUGAAUAAGAGGUCUCGCCUGCCCUGUGACUAUAUGUUUAACGGCCGCGGUAUUUUGACCGUGCGAAGGUAGCGCAAUCACUUGUCUUUUAAAUGGAGACCUGUAUGAAUGGCACAACGAGGGCUUAACUGUCUCCUCUUUCCGGUCAAUGAAAUUGAUCUUCCCGUGCAGAAGCGGGAAUAACUACAUAAGACGAGAAGACCCUAUGGAGCUUUAGACAAAAAGCAGACCAUGUUAAGCACCCUUAGAUAAAAGGCUAAACUCGAUGACUCCUGCCCUAAUGUCUUUGGUUGGGGUGACCGCGGCGAAACAAAUAACCCCCGCGAAGAAAGAGGGCUCCUCCCUCCGAACCGAGAGCUCCCGCUCUAACGAGCAGAACAUCUGACUAUUUAAGAUCCGGCACUGCCGAUCAACGGACCGAGUUACCCUAGGGAUAACAGCGCAAUCCCCUUCUAGAGCCCAUAUCGACAAGGGGGCUUACGACCUCGAUGUUGGAUCAGGACAUCCUAAUGGUGCAGCCGCUAUUAAGGGUUCGUUUGUUCAACGAUUAAAGUCCU
RNAcentral lists this ribosomal RNA (574 nucleotides) under Prognathodes aya (bank butterflyfish). RNAcentral describes it as "partial 16S ribosomal RNA". It matches the Rfam family "Bacterial large subunit ribosomal RNA", at positions 1817 to 2597 of the family's 2925-position model. The record is from RNAcentral. Lineage: Eukaryota; Metazoa; Chordata; Actinopteri; Chaetodontiformes; Chaetodontidae.